GUCCACGCCGUAAACGUUGGGCACUAGGUGUGGGACUCUAUCGACGGGUUCCGUGCCGUAGCUAACGCAUUAAGUGCCCCGCCUGGGGAGUACGGCCGCAAGGCUAAAACUCAAAGGAAUUGACGGGGGCCCGCACAAGCGGCGGAGCGUGUGGCUCAAUUCGAUGCAACGCGAAGAACCUUACCUGGGCUUGACAUGUACGGUAAAGCGGGUGAAAGCCCGUGUGCUUCGGCGCCGUACACAGGUGGUGCAUGGCUGUCGU
Molecule: ribosomal RNA, 262 nt
Filed under: uncultured bacterium
Lineage: Bacteria
Description: partial 16S ribosomal RNA
Rfam family: Bacterial small subunit ribosomal RNA
Source: RNAcentral